RNAcentral lists this transfer RNA (31 nucleotides) under Timon pater. Its description in RNAcentral is "partial tRNA-Thr". Lineage: Eukaryota; Metazoa; Chordata; Lepidosauria; Squamata; Lacertidae. The record is from RNAcentral.
GACGCCCUAGUAGCUUAAACUUAAAGCACUG